AGAACGAACGCUGGCGGCAUGCCUAACACAUGCAAGUCGAACGAGACCUUCGGGUCUAGUGGCGCACGGGUGCGUAACGCGUGGGAAUCUGCCCUUCGGUUCGGAACAACAGUUAGAAAUGACUGCUAAUACCGGAUAAUGACGUAAGUCCAAAGAUUUAUCGCCGAAGGAUGAGCCCGCGUAAGAUUAGGUAGUUGGUGGGGUAAUGGCCUACCAAGCCGACGAUCUUUAGCUGGUCUGAGAGGAUGAUCAGCCACACUGGGACUGAGACACGGCCCAGACUCCUACGGGAGGCAGCAGUGGGGAAUAUUGGACAAUGGGCGAAAGCCUGAUCCAGCAAUGCCGCGUGAGUGAUGAAGGCCUUAGGGUUGUAAAGCUCUUUACCAGGGAUGAUAAUGACAGUACCUGGAGAAUAAGCUCCGGCUAACUCCGUG
This 434-nucleotide ribosomal RNA is filed under the name uncultured bacterium. RNAcentral describes it as "bacterial SSU rRNA". It matches the Rfam family "Bacterial small subunit ribosomal RNA", at positions 26 to 507 of the family's 1533-position model. The record is from RNAcentral.